UACGAAGGGGGCUAGCGUUGCUCGGAAUCACUGGGCGUAAAGCGCACGUAGGCGGAUCUUUAAGUCAGGGGUGAAAUCCUGGAGCUCAACUCCAGAACUGCCUUUGAUACUGGGGAUCUCGAGUCCGGAAGAGGUGAGUGGAACUCCGAGUGUAGAGGUAAAAUUCGUAGAUAUUCGGAAGAACACCAGUGGCGAAGGCGGCUCACUGGUCCGGUACUGACGCUGAGGUGCGAAAGCGUGGGGAGCAAACAGG
RNAcentral lists this ribosomal RNA (253 nucleotides) under uncultured bacterium. RNAcentral's name for it is "partial 16S ribosomal RNA". It matches the Rfam family "Bacterial small subunit ribosomal RNA", at positions 524 to 776 of the family's 1533-position model. The record is from RNAcentral.